Molecule: ribosomal RNA, 460 nt
Filed under: uncultured bacterium
Lineage: Bacteria
Description: partial 16S ribosomal RNA
Rfam family: Bacterial small subunit ribosomal RNA
Source: RNAcentral
CCUACAGGUGGCAGCAGUGAGGAAUAUUGGUCAAUGGGCGCGAGCCUGAACCAGCCAAGUAGCGUGAAGGAUGACUGCCCUACGGGUUGUAAACUUCUUUUAUAAAGGAAUAAAGUGAGGCACGUGUGCCUUUUUGUAUGUACUUUAUGAAUAAGGAUAGGCUAACUCCGUGCCAGCAGCCGCGGUAAUACGGAGGAUCCGAGCGUUAUCCGGAUUUAUUGGGUUUAAAGGGAGCGUAGAUGGGUUGUUAAGUCAGUUGUGAAAGUUUGCGGCUCAACCGUAAAAUUGCAAUUGAUACUGGCAGCCUUGAGUACAGUUGAGGUAGGCGGAAUUCGUGGUGUAGCGGUGCAAUGCUUCGAUAUCACGAAGAACUCCGAUUGCGUAGGCAGCUUACUACACUGCCACUGACAUUGAUGCUCGAAAGUGUGGGUAUCAAACAGGAUUAGAUACCCCUGUAGUC